AACGAACGCUGGCGGCGUGCUUAACACAUGCAAGUCGAACGAGAAAGCCUUCGGGUGAGUAGAGUGGCGCACGGGUGAGUAAUGCAUGGGAACGUACCUAGAUGUUGGGGAUAACUACGGGAAACUGUAGCUAAUACCGAAUGUGCUCGCAAGAGUAAAGGAGGCUUCUUAUAGAGUUACUAAUUGUACUUUCACGGUGUGAAGGUAGAAGAGUAACUCUAUAUAGCUACCGCGUCUAGAGCGGCCCAUGUCCCGUUAGCUUGUUGGUGAGGUAAAAGCUCACCAAGGCUACGAUGGGUAGCUGGUCUGAGAGGAUGAUCAGCCACACUGGAACUGAGACACGGUCCAG
Molecule: ribosomal RNA, 349 nt
Filed under: uncultured bacterium
Lineage: Bacteria
Description: bacterial SSU rRNA
Rfam family: Bacterial small subunit ribosomal RNA
Source: RNAcentral